This 73-nucleotide transfer RNA is filed under the name Pelosinus propionicus DSM 13327. RNAcentral describes it as "tRNA_Pseudo_CGA". The stretch from base 14 to 70 matches the Rfam family "tRNA". From Rfam's summary of the family: Transfer RNA (tRNA) molecules are approximately 80 nucleotides in length. Their secondary structure includes four short double-helical elements and three loops (D, anti-codon, and T loops). Further hydrogen bonds mediate the characteristic L-shaped molecular structure. tRNAs have two regions of fundamental functional importance: the anti-codon, which is responsible for specific mRNA codon recognition, and the 3' end, to which the tRNAs corresponding amino acid is attached (by aminoacyl-tRNA synthetases). tRNAs cope with the degeneracy of the genetic code in two manners: having more than one tRNA (with a specific anti-codon) for a particular amino acid; and 'wobble' base-pairing, i.e. permitting non-standard base-pairing at the 3rd anti-codon position. The record is from RNAcentral. Lineage: Bacteria; Bacillati; Bacillota; Negativicutes; Selenomonadales; Sporomusaceae.
GAAAACGAAAAAUGAUGGCGAAAUUUGACUACGAAUCAAAAGGUCGCAGGUUCGAAUCCUGCCGGGGUCACCA